RNAcentral lists this ribosomal RNA (301 nucleotides) under uncultured bacterium. RNAcentral's name for it is "partial 16S ribosomal RNA". It matches the Rfam family "Bacterial small subunit ribosomal RNA", at positions 509 to 807 of the family's 1533-position model. The record is from RNAcentral.
CAGCCGCCACGGUAAUACGGAGGGAGCUAGCGUUGUUCGGAAUUACUGGGCGUAAAGCGCACGUAGGCGGUUAUUCAAGUCAGAGGUGAAAGCCCGGGGCUCAACCCCGGAACUGCCUUUGAAACUAGAUGACUGGAAUCUUGGAGAUGUCAGUGGAAUUCCGAGUGUAGAGGUGAAAUUCGUAGAUAUUCGGAAGAACACCAGUGGCGAAGGCGACUGACUGGACAAGUAUUGACGCUGAGGUGCGAAAGCGUGGGUAGCAAACAGGAUUAGAUACCCGCGUAGUCCCUGUCUCUUAUAC